UAGGCCCUGAAUCAAGACCAGUGGGUUUUUUUGUAGCUGUUGGUUUCAAACAGGAGCCAAGAGCAAUGUCUUCCUGUGGUUUGUUGGCCAUUCAGGACCCAGUGGGAAUGGCCAAUUCAAUUGGAAGAAACAUAG
Molecule: non-coding RNA, 135 nt
Organism: Myotis davidii
Lineage: Eukaryota; Metazoa; Chordata; Mammalia; Chiroptera; Vespertilionidae
Source: Rfam